UUCACUAAGUUUGUAAUUUGACAGAUAAAUAAAAAAACCAAAGAGAUGCAGAGAUUAUUGUGGCUAAUGACAUUUAUUUUUGUUUUUUCUUCGGCAUAUUCAUCACAAGUGCUCUUACCUAAUCGCAUCAAAUCACCUUAUUUCAAUGAAAAAAUUGGAACACCGCAUAGUAAAUCGCCACCCGCGGCUGGUUGUGAAACACCGCAACAAGCACACACAAGAUCAUCCUGUAAAAGUAAGACGUCCAAAGGCAGGGGUGGUUAGACAUGCAUGUUUGAAAAACUGUUUAUAGUUUGCGUUAACGUUCUGCAGUUAUAAAUGUUAAUAAGUGUUUUUGUGCACCUGAUAUAAUAAAACCAAUGUUGUCAAAGAAAAAGAAAAAGAAAUAAUAAAACCAAUUGUAGCUACGGCUUUUAACCGAGCACAAUCAAAUCGUCUUUUUUUUUUGACAUCGCACGAUCAAAUCCUUUUGAGAGCAUGAUUAUCGCUGUCUUUAGCUAGGGUUCUUAAAGUAAUUAGGAUUAAAAAUAAAUCAAAAAUAGAUGUUAUUAGAAAAAACGUUUCUUAGUUAAGGACAAAAAAAGACGUCUCUUAGAAACACGUGUCUCUCAUUGAAGGGAGUUUAGCUUUUUUCUCUUCAUAUCUUUCUCUCUCGACGGAAGACGAUCUGGAUUCACGGUGGGAAGAAGCCACCGGAGAAGCUGUUGACGAAGUCAUCUUCCUCAGCCGUCACACCACCUUCUCGAACCGUAAUGCUCUGCCUGUUCACCCCAUCGGAGUGCUUCAUCUGAAAGAAGGAGAAUCGCCGCCGCAGGGAGGAAAGCCGGGAUGGGCGGCGUUGCUGUUGACCGUACUAUAGAUAACAUAGCUUUCAGAGGUUGGGUCGAGACUAAUAAUCAAAGUGAUCGGAAGUUUAUUCCUUUACGUAUGAUUCCACAGGAUUUUCUGGACGGAUCAUGUGACCCGAUUUGUUCAGUUGAUGAACCUAGCUCGAGCUACUUUGAAGCGAAUUGUCAUGGUUUCUUUACUCAGGAAACUGGUUCCUCAAUCAGAAUACCGCAAACUUCUAGGAGCUGUUGUGGUGAUAGCAGCAAAUGCAGGAGGAGCAUGGACUCCAAUUGGUGAUGUUACGACAACUAUGCUAUGGAUUCAUGGUCUUGGAGUUCUCUGGGUCUUGACAGAUGCCAUCCACUACGGUGAAUCAGAAAGACAAAAGCUCAAAAUACCUCAAGCCUUAUCCUUCACUAGUAUAGAAUGAAUUAUCCAGUAAGAUUUAUGCGUUUCGAGUUUUUAUGUGUUGUCUGGAAAGUGUAAGACUAGUUUGAGGUAACCAAACUCUUCAAUUGCAGAAAUGUCUCUGAUCUUUUUCAAAGUUU
Brassica napus (rape) is the source of this 1376-nucleotide long non-coding RNA. RefSeq lists it as uncharacterized. The record is from RefSeq and is a predicted model, not a curated record. The transcript has 4 exons. NCBI's taxonomy places the organism in Eukaryota, Viridiplantae, Streptophyta, Magnoliopsida, Brassicales, Brassicaceae.